This 118-nucleotide ribosomal RNA is filed under the name uncultured bacterium. Its description in RNAcentral is "partial 16S ribosomal RNA". It matches the Rfam family "Bacterial small subunit ribosomal RNA", at positions 1365 to 1482 of the family's 1533-position model. The record is from RNAcentral.
AAUACGUUCCCGGCCUUGUACACACCGCCCGUCACACCACGAAAGUCGGCAACACCCGAAGCCGGUGGCCUAACCCGUAAGGGGAGGAGCCGUCGAAGGUGGGGUCGGUGAUUGGGUG